This 1285-nucleotide ribosomal RNA is filed under the name uncultured Microgenomates group bacterium. RNAcentral describes it as "bacterial SSU rRNA". It matches the Rfam family "Bacterial small subunit ribosomal RNA". The record is from RNAcentral.
AGAGUUUGAUUAUGGCUCAGGAUAAUGCUGGCGGUGUGCCUUAAGCAUGCAAGUUGAACGGUUCUUUCGAGAACGAGUGGCAGACGGGUGAGUAAUGAAUAGGAACUUACCCUCAAGUGGGGGAUAGCUCAGCGAAAGUUGGGGUAAUACCGCAUGAUCGCAAGAUCAAAGUCUUCGGACGCUUGGGGAGGGGCCUAUUUCCUAUCAGGUUGUUGGUGAGGUAAUGGCUCACCAAGCCUAUGACGGGUAGCCGGUGUGAGAGCAUGGCCGGCCACAAGGUUACUGAGACACGGAACCUACACCUACGGGUGGCAGCAACUGGGAAUAUUGCGCAAUGGACGAAAGUCUGACGUAGCGACACCGCGUGUGGGAGCUUCGGUGACCACUGUGGCAGGGGAGAUCACCCUGCUAGAAAGCACCUGCAACUACGUGCCAGAAGCCUCGGUAAUACGUAGGGUGCAAGCAUUAUCCGGAUUUAUUGGGCGUAAAGCGUCCGUCGGCGUCUUAUCAAGUCUUUAGUUUAAAACCAAGGCUCAACUUUGGAAGGCUAAAGAUACUGGUAGGAUUGAGUAUAUUAGGGGGAGCUGGAAUUCUCGGUGGAGGGGUGAAAUCCGUAGAUAUCGAGAGGAACACCAUUCGCGAAGGCGGGCUCCUGGAAUUUACUGACGCUCAGGGACGAAAGCUUGGGUAGCAAAAGGGAUUAGAGACCCCUGUAGUCCAAGCCGUAAACGGUCCUUGCUAGCUGCUUGUUUCAUGAAAUGAGUGGCGUGCUAACGCGUUAAGCAAGGCGCCUGGGGAUUACGACCGCAAGGUUAAAACUCAAAGGAAUUGACGGGGGAGCGCACAACCGGUGGAGCAUGUGGUUUAAUUCGAUACAAAGCGAAAGACCUUACCUGGGUACAUGAACUACGCUCUGUGAAAGCAGAGCUUUCGGUGUUCAAGGUGUUGCAUGGCUGUCGUCAGCUCGUGUCGUGAGACGUCCACUUAAGUGUGGUAACGAGCGCAACCCUUAUCAUCAGUUACAAGUGUCUGAUGAGACUGCCCUGUUUUGCAGGGAGGAAGGAGAGGACGACGUCAAGUCAGCAUGACCCUUACAUCCAGGGCAACACACAUCCUACAAUGGAGCCGACAACGGGUAGCGACGGAGUAAUCCUGAGCAAUCCUUAAACGGCCCCUCAGUUCAGAUUGAGGGCUGCAAUUCGCCCUCAUGAAGUUGGAAUCGGUAGUAAUCGCAAAUCAGCAGGUUGCGGUGAAUACGUUCUCGCUCCUUGCACACACCCCCGUC